Molecule: ribosomal RNA, 497 nt
Filed under: uncultured bacterium
Lineage: Bacteria
Description: partial 16S ribosomal RNA
Rfam family: Bacterial small subunit ribosomal RNA
Source: RNAcentral
GAUGAACGCUGGCGGCGUGCCUAAUACAUGCAAGUCGAGCGAACGGACGAGAAGCUUGCUUCUCUGAUGUUAGCGGCGGACGGGUGAGUAACACGUGGAUAACCUACCUAUAAGACUGGGAUAACCUCGGGAAACCGGAGCUAAUACCGGCUGAUAUUUUGAACCGCAUGGUUCAAAAGUGAAAGACGGUCUUGCUGUCACUUAUAGAUGGAUCCGCGCUGCAUUAGCUAGUUGGUAAGGUAACGGCUUACCAAGGCAACGAUGCAUAGCCGACCUGAGAGGGUGAUCGGCCACACUGGAACUGAGACACGGUCCAGACUCCUACGGGAGGCAGCAGUAGGGAAUCUUCCGCAAUGGGCGAAAGCCUGACGGAGCAACGCCGCGUGAGUGAUGAAGGUCUUCGGAUCGUAAAACUCUGUUAUUAGGGAAGAACAUAUGUGUAAGUAACUGUGCACAUCUUGACGGUACCUAAUCAGAAAGCCACGGCUAACUACGUG